GCCAAAUAAAGAACAAAGAAGAACAAAAGGAGAAAAGAAAAACAAAAACCCUAAGUGUAGAAUUUCAAGAGACAAGUGUGGGAAAUUCAAGGAAACAAGUGACAAAAGGUAAAAUUUCUUGAUUUUGACUUGUGAUCUACCUUUCCCAUGCAUUUUUCCUUAUUUUUCAUGGUUAAAUUUUAUGUUUUCAUGGUGAAUUCAUGGCUGGUCAAAAUGGUAUGGAGAGAGAAAGAUGUUGGAUUGAUUUGAUUUUAAGUUAUGUUAGUGUUUUUAGUUAGUUUAGCAUAUUUAGAAACAAAACAACAAGAAAAGAAUUCAUUUUCCCCCAUCACCAUCAUUGGCCGAAUUUUCUAGGGAGCAUAUUGUGGUUGAAAUUGAUGAUAUUUCAUGAUAUUUGGGUGAUAAUUGAUGUUUGGUGAGGCUAGAAAUUAAAUGGGAAAUUUUGGUGUGAAAAUCUGAAUUUUUGCUCAACGUAUAGACAUGUGUGAUUAUUGACCCGAGAUUGAUAAAUUGAUUUGGAUAAUUUACGUAUAAUUGGAGUGUAGAAAGUGAGAAGAAUUGAUUUGGAGUUAAAUUGAAGAUUUUAGCCAAUUAAAUCGAGAAUAGUGCGAAUUAGGUCGAAUAUCGUAUUUAAACGGCUAUUCGGACAUUUUGCAUCACAUUUUGUGCAUUCAUAUAGAUUUAUAGAGCCUGAAAUAGUUUAUGAUAAAUUGACAUAAUUUAUUGAAAUUCGUGUCACGUAUGAUGUAUAGGUGGUGAGCCUUCUAACAAGAGUAAAGAGAUUGUGCCCGAAGAUCGGGAAUAGGAGUAUAUCGAACUCCUAGUACUGUGAGUAACCUUAUCAUCAUUUUAAUUAUCUAAAGUAUGAUUUUAAUCGGUUUUGGUGGAAUUUUAUGAAAAUGAGUUUAAAUGGUUAAUUUUUGGUUUUACAAAUAAAAUAUGUUUAAAUAAAAUGAUUUUAUAAAUUGUCUUGAAACAAAAUAACGAUUUUGAAAAAUAGAAUAUUUGGAGACCACUGGUUUGUUGUAGAAUUAUGAUUGUUUACAUUGAUUAGCUUAUGAUAAAUUGAGCAUGAUUGGCUGGUUGACAAUUGUAUUGAAAUACGGAUUUAGUUGUUUGCCUUGAAAGGCUGUGAAUUACAAUAAUUGUCAUAUCAUGUUAUUGAGUUUUAUUGAUUGGUGGGAUAAUUAUUAGCUUAUUGCAGUAGGCGAGUUUCCGUGGACUAGCCUAUUAAAGGGGCACGGUAAACCCUGUUAUAUUUUACCUCGGUUGGAGAGGCGAGUAGGGUAACUCUCGAGGUGUAACUUUUAGAGUUCACUUCACGCCAAACCACCAUGUGAGGGGGAACUCGGCCAACGCCAAUGAACGGCUAUAUUUUCAAAGUAAAAACAUGAUUUAUGUGUUCAUAACUUUUUAACAGCCUUGGCGGACUCAGUUGAGAUAGCCUUCAAUCGAGGUAUCCCUGAUAACUGAGUAUGAUAAUGAUUUUGGCACGAGCCAAAGUUUUAAGAAGUUCAUAAGCCAUACUGAUUACUUGAUUUAAAUAAAUUGAUUUCAUUUCGUUGAAAUAAGUCGAAAGAUGAUAAAUUACAGUUUGAUGAAAUGUUUUAAUAGUCUCCUUUUACUCGCCUUUAGAUAUUUUAAAUGAUAUUUGUUUACUCAUUGAGAUUUUAUAAUCUCACCACCCUCAUUUCCACCAAUUUCAGGCUUGGAAUAGAUUGUAAAUAAUUGAUAUCGGCGAGGACUACAGUUGGACUUGUCACAUCCAAAAACUGUAGGUUCAUUUCUUUUGAUACUUUUAGUCAUUCGUGGGCCCACGUGUCACUGUAAUUUAAAUUUUAUACUUUGGUUAUCUGUAUUACAGUAUGUAGGAAUUUAUUUUACUUUUACGCUGUAAAAAUUAUUUAUGCAGUGCUCUUAAAAUAUUGUUUUAUGAGAAAAUUGAAUAUUUUAUUCAAUAUUUUUAUUUUAUACUAAUAGUCAUAAUUUCAUUUUAAACGAAUGUUUCAGACAUCCAAAUUUAUUUUUGAUUAUGAAAUAUGUGUUUUCCACUUACAUACUACAUUUUUAACUGAUUUUGAGAUUUUUGGGAAAAAUGACCAAAAUACCCCUAUGAGACGAAAAUUAUUAUUUUAUUUGUUUUAAGUUGAAAAUUGCUUAAAAUAUUUUAGAACGCGAUAUUCAGCAAUGAUUACUCACAGGGGAAAUAAGAAGAUGAUAUUAAAGCCUUACGGGGUUCUGGUUGACAUUCUGGGUAAUGAGUGUCAAUUGGGGCAUUGCGACGAUUGUCACGGGCUCGAGGAGAGUUUCAGGUCAUGACAAUUUUAGUGGUAUCAGAGUUUUUGGUUUUAAAGAUUAGAGCUUUUGGGUUUAAAAUUGUUUCAAAGUUGUUUUAAAAACUACAGUGUCAGUGUGGCCCAAGUUAAGUUAAGUUAAAUCAGGUUAGGUUGAGUAGAAUACAUGCAUCAGCAUAUAGAGCCUGAGGUAGCCUAAACUUUCUUGUUUCCUCUUAUAGAUCUUAUGGGAGCUAUAAGAACUCAUGUUCCCAGUAAUCCAUUUCCUUGUUAAUGUCAUGCAAAGGUCAUAAGUAGGACCGUUGUUUGGGUUUAAGAUGCCACCCAUGACACAAGCCAGUGUUGAAGAGAUCUUAAAACGAAUGCUCCUUAUGAAAGAUUAAUGAAAUGAUAUAUCCCUCCGAUUAUGGAUGGAGAAAUUUGGAGUUGGACUAAUAGGUCGUGAUAAUUUACUCAUUUGAUGGAGUUAUAAUUGAACUCAUGGUUGUCAAUUGGAAAAAGAUUUGGGGACUAUGGAUUGUAUUGGGGUUGAUAUAAAGGAGCAUGUGUGAUAAUGGUAAUAAGGGGCGUACUUUGGUUAGAAUGAAUAGUGAUAGUUGUAAUUCACUUGGAGUGUAUAAAUUAAGCAUUGAGGUAAGAGUAAACCUAUACUUAUGUGCAUGAAGAUAAGAACACUAUGUUAAUUGAGCUUGUUAUGCCCAUAUAAAAGUGGUGUUGAUUUCAAUUAAGAGAUUGUGAGAUUUCAAGAAUUGAUUGGACCUAUUAUAGUUCAUGGAUAUAAGCACGUGAAUUAACUCGAGAGUAAGUAUCAAUGAUUAUUACAAUUGAUGUGUGGUCAUGAAGUAAGAAGUUAGUAAACAAAUCUGCUCUAAGGAUGAGCUUGAACUUUGCUAUUCAUAGUAAGGAAGAGCCAAGAAAUUAAAGGACUAGAUGUGGAAUUGACAGCUUGAGGUUAAAUGACUUGGAAAUGUCGAAUCUAGUCUAAGUGCCAUAUGAAGUUCUAUAAUUGAGAUUGAUAUACGAAUUACUUGAAAGAUCAAUUUAAAAGUUUCUUCGAUUCAAAGUGUGGCCUAUGAUACGCAUGAUCAGUCUUGAAGGUGAUCUCCCUAAAGUAAGGAAUUUAGAAAAUGUUGAUGUUUGGAUAUACUCUAAGAGAGAGAGAACUUCUGUAUCCUAAGUUUAGGCCAACUUUGAUCUUAUGAUCGCAAAGGCAAGGUGUGAUAACUAAGUAAAUUAUUCAAUUAAUAAAUGUGAUUGGUUAUUGAUGAAUAAAGUCAAGAUCUUAAAAUUAGUGGCGUAUAAUUUGAUAAUUAUGUAUUUAAGAGUUAUUGGAGACAAUUCCUUCAUCAAAUUUGCACUGUAUGCUAUGAUAAAGGCAUAUCAAUGUUAAUAUGGAAAAGGUGAAAUUUGAAAUUUCAGUUGCAGCUACAAAAUUUGAAAGGAUAUAAGUGACGCUUAUAAUGGAUUUUUGAUUCUAUGAGGAUUGUGAAUAUAAGUGUAAAGAAAGAUGAAGGUAUGAGAUAUCGAUGAGGAAUAUCAAUGUUAAGUGAUGAAGUAUGAAUAACGAAUUACAAGUGUUAUAGGAUGAGAUGAAUUUGAAAAUAUUGACUUUACCUAAUUUAUGUGAUGAGCACAAGAAGAUAUAAAUGGUCAUGGAAAUUGUGACGUAAGCUUGGAGGGAAACCAAACGGUUGAGAAUGAUUAGUGUAGUAACCUUAAAUAUAGAUGAAUAACAUUGAUUAAGUAAACUCCAACAGCCACCAUGCCGGGGUGCUAAGAACACUUCAUGUCUAGGACGCAUGAAUAAAAUGAGACAGAUGUGAAGUUAAACUUACGAGUUUACCUAAAGUCAUUGAACUUGAUUCUAAGUUUUGUUAAUUGAAGUUUUAAGGUUUUGGAAGGUAUCGAUAUGAAUGAGUUAAAGCUGAAAUGGUUAAAGGCGUUCCCUUCGGGGGGAACAAAAAGGUCUGGGGUUCGAAACUUGGCUAGAAGGUCCUGUAGGGCUUGUCGUGUCGCCCUUAGGUGCAACGGAAACAAGUAAGUCAAGUGAUGGGGACCCAGACAUAAUAAUACCUUGGAGUGGGCCCCAAAGAGGAUGCCACAUAAAUGGCUAAGUUAUGGGUUAAGUGAUCACAUGUUGUGAGACAUAAGUUUAAGAUAUAUAUCCUCAAGGAAAUACUCAAGAGAAGUUCUGCCGUGGAUCUUGUAAAAGCAAGCACUAAGUUAUGUAAUUAUAAAAAGAAAGCUAUAAGCUGAGAGUGAUAUUAGUAUUAAUAUUGAAAAGUACUUGAGGAGAAUCUAGUUUUAAGUCUUGCAAUUUCAAGUACAAUUUGUAAAUUGGUUAAGGAAGAAUGAUGUUAUAUUCAUAUGAAAGAGUGGAACUUUAUUAAAGGAAGCGUAUGGAAAAGCAUAAGAGAAUAUAUUAGUUUGACUUACUAUAAGAGGUCAAAAGUUGGAUGGCCAUGAGUGGCUUGUAAGUAAACCAAGAAUGUAUAGGUAAGUGUGUAAGGGAGCUAUGAUCGAUAUAUAAGGGUAGAACUUUAAUGAUGAGAUGGUGUUCACUGCGUUAGACCUUGAACUAUAAAAUAUGGAUAUGUAUCCAUCUUAUGAAUACUCUGAUGUGAUAAAUUUGAAAGACUUUUCGCAAUGAGAAAACAUUAAAGCUUAAGGAGCAAAUGGCUAUACAGUCAAGUUAGACUUGUGACUGACAUGUCAUACAAGUAUGAGGAUGGGAUACAAGUAUAAGUAUACUUCGAAAUACUAGUUUGAGGCAAUGAUUAUCCUAUUGAUUUAUGGACCCGAUGAGGUUCUGGUCUUGAAAUAAUUGUAGACGCAAAGCACAAAUUGUGAAAUGUACUUCCCCACAAGUUUCAAUUUAUUUUUAAGUAAUUAUCAAGGCAAAGUAUUUGAUAAUGGUAGGCAAAGGUUGAAUUGUGUUUCGAAUGUUUAGAAAAUGAGGAUGAUACGGUUUGAUUAAAUGACACUAUUAUGUGUAAGGGAAUAGAAACACGCUACGGGGACUGUAAAGAUCUACUUAGAAAAGAAAUGAUGAUUCAAAAAUUCAAGUACUCAUGUACAAGUAAAGGUUUGGUGAUGAGAUAUGACAUAGGGUUGAAUUACUCCAAUAUGAACUUUGACUAUAAAAAUUUGAUUUAUAUAAUAGGUGUUGUUUGGGGAUGAUGCCAACUAGUGGUUAACUCUCAUAUGAGAAUGGAAUAUGUGCAAUCGACUUCAAGUAAUCGAAAGUGUGAAAAUUUGCCUUGAUUAGCAUAAGCCCAUGACUCAAAAUGAAUGAUUAUGGAUUUAAUCUUCUAAGGUAAAAAGGGCUGAAGGAAGUUGAUAUAAAAAAUAUCUUGAUAAAUGAUACUUUGAUUUUAAAGUGUACUUGAGGGGAGAUAAAUGUUUAUUUUCAUCUUCAGAUUGAUAAACUAAUGAGGCCAUGAGAUCUAGUGUUUGGAGAAAAAUUUGAGAAGUCACAAGUUAGAUAUGUUUGUGUGUGACGUAUAACUAACAAGUUGGUUAUGACCUAGGAAUUAUAAGGAUUGAUUAAGUCCAUAAGGAUACAUCCAAAAGUAGGUUCAUUUAUUUAAAUAUAUCGUGGUAAUAGAAGAGAUUUACUUAAUAAGUACUCGAUCCUGAAGGUACUAGAGUUUUCUUUUUGAGAAUAUGGUUACUAAUGGUUAUCAAAUUUGAAUUAUCUGUGAUGUUAAAUAUAUAUAUGGACAAAUAAAGAGUGUUUGAUCCUUCUGUAUUAUGAAAUGCUUGAAUAAGAAUUGUAGUGCACACCCCUUUAGGAGAAAAAUUGAUUUGGAAGCAGUUGUAAUAUGGAAAGAGUAUUCUGAAGUGGGAAUUAUUGAUUGUUGACAAGUGAUAAAGGUAGCGUAACGAUAAGAAAUCCCAUUAGAGGCUGAAUUGCGUGGAUAUAAGAGACUUUGGGAGAUAGUUAAGGAAAUGGUAUCAAGGAGAUGUAAUCUGUAGCGCGGUUAAGCCGUACGCGAUAGACUAAUAUGAUUAAGAAGAUUGAAGCUACAUAAAUGUGAGGUAAACAUAAAUAUGAGGAUACGUACAGAAAUGAAUAAGAGCAUCCCAAUGGUUAAAGUAUUGUGGAUGAAUACUCGAAUGGAAGAGAUGACAUGGGAAGUUGAACAUCAGAUAAGAAGACAACACCUUACCUUUUCUUUGAGUUCAGUAAAUGAAAAUUUGAGAUCAAAAUUUUAUUUUAAGGGGGAUAAUGCUGUAAAGCCUAACUCUAUAAAAUACUUGUCAUGACAUACAUGUGAUGGAUAGUAUGUUUGCAUGCUUGGAGAGUCCCAAAAAAUUUACAAAAGGCGGUAUUGUACCUAGAGGUAUAACAAAGUUGAUUUAAGCCUCGAACUAGAUCAAAUAGAGAUCUUAGGGUGAAAUUGAAAAUUUUAAAAUCCUAGAAUGACUUAGAAUGGUGAUUCGGAGUUCGAGCACCAUUUUGGAGUCAAAUUGGAAAUUUCACUAUCUAAAAGCAAAAUGGUAAUUUUGCCACUCGAGGACAAAAUAGAAAAUUGUUUGAAAGAUUUUGAUAAUAUAUGACUUAUUGGAGUAUGAUUUGAGGUUGAGAAGUGAAAAAUUGUAAUCUCGAUAUUUUUCAGAGCAUAGGGGUAAAAUGGUAAUUUUACCACCCCAAGGGCAAAACAGUAAUUUUUCACCACCAGGACACUUGUCCAGCAUAUGAAUUUUAUCCAAUAUUAUCAUGGAUAAUUGAAGGAAUUUAUAUGGUGGAGAGAGAAAGCUUAAUAGUUAAGAAAUAAAAAUGGACCAAUAAUGUGGUGACAUGUGUCAAGUUUAUAGCCAUUAUUUGUUUAGCUUUAAAAUAAGUAUAAAAUCAGCCUAUUUUCCUUCAUAUGGCCGGCCAAACAAAGAACAAAGAAGAACAAAAGGAGAAAAGAAAAACAAAAACCCUAGGUGAAGAAUUUCAAGAGAAAAGUGUGGGAAAUUCAAGGAAACAAGUGACAAAAGGUAAAAUUUCUUGAUUUUGACUUGUGAUCUACCUUUCCCAUGCAUUUCUCCUUAUUUUCCAUGGUUAAAUUUCAUGUUGUCAUGGUGAAUUCAUAGCUGGUCAAAAUGGGUAUGGAGAGAGAAAGAUGUUGGAUUGAUUUGAUUUUAAGUUAUGUUAGUGUUUUUAGUUAGUUUAGCAUAUUUAGAAACAAAACAACAAGAAAAAAAAUUCAUUUUCCCCCAUCACCAUCAUUGGCCGAAUUUUCUAGGGAGGAUAUUGUGGCUGAAAUUGAUGAUAUUUCAUGAUAUUUGGGUGAUAAUUGAUGUUUGGUGAGGCUAGAAAUUAAAUGGGAAAUUUUGGUGUGAAAAUUUGAAUUUUUCUCAACGUAUAGACAUGUGUGAUUAUUGACCCAGGACUGAUAAAUUGAAUCUCAUUCACAGUCACUGGGGUAAUUUAGGUAUAAUUGGAGUGUAGAAAGUGAGAAGAAUUAAUUUGGAGUUAAAUUGAAGAUUUUAGCUAAUUACAUCGAGAAUAGUGCGAAUUAGGUCGAAUACCGUAUUUAAACGGCUAUUCGGACAUUUUGCAUCACAUUUCGUGCAUUCAUAUAGAUUUAUAAAGCCUAAAAUAGUUUAUGAUAAAUUGACACAAGUUAUUGAAAUUCAUGUCACGUAUGAUGUAUAGGUGGUGAGCCUUCUAACAAGAGUAAAGAGAUUGUGCCCGAAGAUUGGGUAUAAGAGUAUAUCGAACUCUUAGUACUAUGAGUAACCUUAUCAUCAUUUUAAUUAUCUAAAGUAUGAUUUUAAUCGGUUUUGGUGGAAUUUUAUGAAAAUGAGUUUAAAUGGUUAAUUUUUGGUUUUACAAAUAAAAUAUGUUUAAAUAAAAUGAUUUUAUAAAUUGUCUUGAAACAAAAUAACAAUUUUGAAAAAUACAGUAAUUAGAGACCACUAGUAUGCUGUAGAUUUAUGAUUGUUUACAUUGAUUGGCUUAUGAUAAAUUGAGAAUGAUUGGCUGGUUGACAAUUGUAUUGAAAUACGGAUUUGGUUGUUUGCCUUGAAAGGCUGUGAAUUACAAUAAUUGCCAUAUCAUGUUAUUGAGUUUUAUUGAUUGGUGGGAUAAUUAUUAGCUUACUGCAGUAGGCGAGUUUUCGUGGACUAGCCUAUUAGAGGGGCACGGUAAACCCCGUUAUAUUUUACCUCGGUUGGAGAGGCGAGUAGGGUAACUUCUGAGGUAUAACUUUUAGAGUUCACUUCACGCCAAACCACCACGUGAGGGGGAACUCGGCCAACGCCAAGGAACGACUAUAUUUUCAAAGUAAAAACAUGAUUUAUGUGUUCAUAACUUUUUAACAGCCUUGGCGGACUCGGUUAGGAUAGCCCUCGAUUAAGGUAUCCCUGAUAAUUGAGUAUGAUAAUUAUUUUGGCACGAGCCAAAGUUUUAAGAAGUUCAUAAGUCACACUGAUUACUUGAUUUAAAUAAAUUGAUUUCAUUUCAUUGAAAUAAGUCGAAAGAUGAUAAAUUACAGUUUGAUGAAAUGUUUUAAUAGUCUCAUUUUACUCGCCUUUAGAUAUUUUAAAUGAUAUUUGUUUACUCACUGGGAUUUUAUAAUCUCACCACCCUCUUUUUCACCCAUUUCAGGCUUGGAAUAGAUUGUAGAUAAUUGAUAUCGACGAGGACUACAGUUGGACUUGUCACAUCCAAAAACUGUAGGUUCAUUUUUUUUUAUACUUUUAGUCAUUCGUGGGCCCACAUGUCACAGUAAUUUAAAUUUUAUACUUUGGUUAUCUGUAUUACAGUAUGUAAGAAUUUAUUUUACUUUUACGCUGUAAAAAUUAUUUAUGCAGUGUUCUUAAAAUAUUGUUUUAUGAGAAAAUUGAAUAUUUUAUUCAAUAUUUUUAUUUUAUACUAAUAGUCAUAAUUUAUUUUAAACGAAUGUUUUAGACAUCCAAAAUUAUUUUUGAUUAUGAAAUAUGUGUUUUCCACUUAUAUACUACAUUUUUAACUGAUUUUGAGAUUUUUGGGAAAAAUGAUCAAAAUACCCCUGUGAGACGAAAAUUAUUAUUUUAUUUGUUUUAAGUUGAAAAUUGCUUAAAAUCUUUUAGAACGCGAUAUUCGGCAACGGUUAUUCACAAGGAAAAUGAGAAGUUGAUAUUAAAGCCUUGCAGGGUUCCGGUUGACAUUUUGUGUAAUAAGUGUCAAUUGGGGCAUCGCGGUGAUUGUCAUGGGCUCGAGGGGAGUUCUGGGUCGUGACAGAGAUAUUGAUAUUUGUUGUCUAAAAACCUUUUGAAAAGGAUUUGGAAGAAAAAUACUUCUACUCCAGGUAUCCAUACUUGAAACUCAAAAAUAAAAGUAUUGAUACUUCUAUUCUAAGCAUCGAUACUUCUAUUCUACGCAUCGAUACUCUUCAUUAUUUACACAAAAAUAAAACGGAUAAAAUAGUUCUUUCUUUCUUAAAAUUACCUCUUUAGGGCUUUUCUAAAAGCCUCAACUCCUAUUCCACCUUCCUUUGCCAUUUUAAAUAAAUCUCAGUCUCUGACUUACUUACUCUCACUAAAAACCAUCAUUUUUUGAAAGAUUCAAGCUUGGUUUUGAUUUUCUGGAAAUACAAAGGUAAAAGUUUGAGCCUUCAAACUCUAGUUUUCAACCUUUGAUUUUAACUCUCUUAACUGAUUCAAGUUUCUCUCUUUAAGGGUUUAGUGCCCAACUUGGUUUUCUGUAACACCCAUGAUUUUUUGACAUGGCCUAUAUGUGAUGUUAGCCAAGUGACUUCAGGAGUUAUUUAAGUUUUGAUGAAUAUGAUUAUGUCUAGAGAUAAAUGGCUAUGAAUGUGGGGGGUAAAUUAAAAUCCUUAAUGAAAUUAUGUAAAUGUUUGGCACUUUAAUAUCUAAGUAUGCCAUUAAGGUAAAUAUCGAUCAAAAUGAUGAAUUAAUCCUAUAGAUUGAGGAUUUGAUUUAAUUUGAUGCAUGUUUGAGGAUAUAUGUAUGAAGAUUUUGAAUUAUAAAAGUUAUUUGAGGUAUAAGAUUAACAAGGAAUGGAUUUUGGGAGUUAAGUUGGAUUUUUGAACAUUUUGGAAGACUUAAAACUACCUACAGGGGAAAAUGUAUUGAUACAUCUCCUCAUCUACCGAUACAUUUUUGGCAGGAAGAACAAUAUGAAGUAUUCUAGAAGAAUUCUAUUGAUACAUUUGAGGUUGUAUCGAUAGAUUUGGCAAAGGAUGAACAUGUAUUGAUACAUUGCCUCAGUGUAUCGAUACUUUUAUUCAAAAUUAGGGCAGAGGUAUCAAUACAUUGCGAAAUGUAUCGAUACAUUAGAGAGAAAAGGUAAAAAUAAAAAAGGGUUUCGAGCCAUUUUGCCCCAUUUUUCUCUCUCAGCUCUUUCUCUCAUUCUCUCUUUACCUUUUUUGAACCCUAAGCCCCUAAAUGCCAUUUGGAGCCCAUUUAAGCUAGAUCCAAGCUUGGGAAAUGAUCCGAAUGUAAGAUUACACAUUUUUACUGAUUGAUUUUCAAUUUAAUCGGUUAAUAACCUCAGAUCUAAAUAUUUUCAGAUUUGGCCAAACUCUCUGCCCUUGAGUUUAUUGGAGAUUUGGAGACUAGAUUUGGGCAAUCUAUCUUCUAAGGUAAAGGUUUAGCUCAUAUGUUGGAAGAUUGAGCUUAUAGAUUAGAUUUG
This 10926-nucleotide long non-coding RNA is filed under the name Theobroma cacao (cacao). RNAcentral's name for it is "long non-coding RNA (TCAC_LNC003767)". Lineage: Eukaryota; Viridiplantae; Streptophyta; Magnoliopsida; Malvales; Malvaceae. The record is from RNAcentral.